This 235-nucleotide unclassified non-coding RNA is filed under the name air metagenome. RNAcentral describes it as "partial contains small subunit ribosomal RNA, internal transcribed spacer 1, and 5.8S ribosomal RNA". The stretch from base 1 to 46 matches the Rfam family "Eukaryotic small subunit ribosomal RNA", at positions 1786 to 1831 of the family's 1831-position model. The record is from RNAcentral.
AAGUCGUAACAAGGUCUCCGUAGGUGAACCUGCGGAGGGAUCAUUACAGAGAACAUCGCCCGCAAGGGUGACUCUCCAACCCUAUGUUAAUUAUACGUUUGUUGCUUUGGCGAGCCGCUUCGGCCACCGGCUCACGCUGGUGAGUGCCCGCCAGAGGACCCAAAACUCUGUUUAUACAUGUCGUCUGAGUACUAUAUAAUAGUUAAAACUUUCAACAACGGAUCUCUUGGUUCUG